RNAcentral lists this ribosomal RNA (246 nucleotides) under uncultured bacterium. Its description in RNAcentral is "partial 16S ribosomal RNA". It matches the Rfam family "Bacterial small subunit ribosomal RNA", at positions 116 to 353 of the family's 1533-position model. The record is from RNAcentral.
CGUGGGUAACCUACCCAUCAGAGGGGGAUAACACUUGGAAACAGGUGCUAAUACCGCAUAACAGUUUAUGCCGCAUGGCAUAAGAGUGAAAGGCGCUUUCGGGUGUCGCUGAUGGAUGGACCCGCGGUGCAUUAGCUGGUUGGUGAGGUAACGGCUCACCAAGGCCACGAUGCAUAGCCGACCUGAGAGGGUGAUCGGCCACACUGGGACUGAGACACGGCCCAGACUCCUACGGGAGGCAGCAUG